UACGUAGGGAGCAAGCGUUGUUCGGAUUUACUGGGCGUAAAGGGCGCGUAGGCGGCAAAUUAAGUCAGCUGUGAAAUCUCCGAGCUUAACUCGGAACUGUCAGCUGAUACUGAUCUGCUAGAGUGCGGAAGGGGCAAUCGGAAUUCUUGGUGUAGCGGUGAAAUGCGUAGAUAUCAAGAGGAACACCUGAGGUGAAGACGGGUUGCUGGGCCGACACUGACGCUGAGUGCGCGAAAGCGUGGGGAGCGAUCCGG
Molecule: ribosomal RNA, 254 nt
Filed under: uncultured bacterium
Lineage: Bacteria
Description: partial 16S ribosomal RNA
Rfam family: Bacterial small subunit ribosomal RNA
Source: RNAcentral